Molecule: ribosomal RNA, 368 nt
Filed under: uncultured organism
Description: bacterial SSU rRNA
Rfam family: Bacterial small subunit ribosomal RNA
Source: RNAcentral
CGUAGGGAGCGAGCGUUGUUCGGAAUUAUUGGGUUUAAAGGGUGCGUAGGCGGUUUUCUAAGUCAGCAGUGAAAUACGGCAGCUCAACUGUCGAGGUGCUGUUGAUACUGGGGAACUUGAGUACUGAUGAGGUAGGCGGAAUGGACGGUGUAGCGGUGAAAUGCUUAGAGAUCGUCCAGAACACCGAUAGCGAAGGCAGCUUACUAAGGAGUAACUGACGCUGAGGCACGAAAGUGUGGGGAUCAAACAGGAUUAGAUACCCUGGUAGUCCACACUGUAAACGAUGAUUACUCGAUGUGUGCGAUAUACGGCACGCGUCUUAGCAAAAGCGAUAAGUAAUCCACCUGGGGAGUACGCCGGCAACGGUG